RNAcentral lists this ribosomal RNA (881 nucleotides) under uncultured eukaryote. RNAcentral's name for it is "bacterial SSU rRNA". It matches the Rfam family "Eukaryotic small subunit ribosomal RNA", at positions 1 to 780 of the family's 1831-position model. The record is from RNAcentral.
AACCUGGUUGAUCCUGCCAGUUGUCAUAUGCUUGUUUCAAGGACUAAGCCAUGCAAGUCUCAGAGUACUUGCGCUUACGCGAGAGGUCUGUGUACGGCUCAUUAAACGGUUUAUUGUCUACCCAACGAAGAGAUGCCUCGUGCAUUUCCGAUGGGAUAACGAUUUCGAAAUGAAUCGCUAAUACCUGUAAGAAGAACCUCGCACUGUUCACACACCGAGUGGGAAACCUCUUGGUGUAGUGCGGGGUGCAAUUCGCCGAAACAAAAAUUAACGCCCGCGAGGGCAGUUGCAAUUGUUGAGGCAGGCAAAUGUUGCGAAAGCGCCAUCUGGCGCGGUGUUGGAUGAAUUUACCACCUAUCAGGUUGAAGGUAGUAUAGUUGACUACCUUGCCUUUGACGGGUAACGGAGAAUUGGGGUUCGAUUCCGGAGAGGGUGCCUGAGAAACGGCAACUAUCACUACGGUGAGCAGCAGGCGCGCAAAUUGCCCAAUGGUCAUUAGACCGAGGCAGCGACGAAAAAUAGUAACUCUGUUGUACUACGUGCAUCAGAGAUUGCAAUGGAUUGUAUCCAAUUCACACUGCUGAGUAACCAUUGGAGGGCAAGUCUGGUGCCAGCAGCCGCGGUAAUUCCAGCUCCAAGAGCGUAUAUAAAUGUUGUUGCGGUUAAAAAGCCCGUAGUUGGAUUUGAGGACGUCGCUUGUGAUCGUACCCCUCGAGACUUCGUUUUCUUGGGAUUCUGCGAACACAUAUAGGCGAUGCUCUGUCGCACGCGGGAUUGGAUGCUGGUUCCUCCUCUUUAUUGAGGUGGAACACCCACGGAGUGAUCUUGCUCCAUAAGGCACGCCCGCCGAUGUCACUGUGAGUAAAACAGAGUGUUCAAGG